GUCAGCUCGUGUCGUGAGAUGUUGGGUUAAGUCCCGUAACGAGCGCAACCCUUGUCCUUAGUUACCAGCACGUAAUGGUGGGCACUCUAAGGAGACUGCCGGUGACAAACCGGAGGAAGGUGGGGAUGACGUCAAGUCAUCAUGGCCCUUACGGCCAGGGCUACACACGUGCUACAAUGGUCGGUACAAAGGGUUGCCAAGCCGCGAGGUGGAGCUAAUCCCAUAAAACCGAUCGUAGUCCGGAUCGCAGUCUGCAACUCGACUGCGUGAAGUCGGAAUCGCUAGUAAUCGUGAAUCAGAAUGUCACGGUGAAUACGUUCCCGGGCCUUGUACACACCGCCCGUCA
RNAcentral lists this ribosomal RNA (346 nucleotides) under Lingulaulax polyedra. RNAcentral describes it as "Lingulodinium polyedra partial Bacterial small subunit ribosomal RNA". It matches the Rfam family "Bacterial small subunit ribosomal RNA", at positions 1054 to 1399 of the family's 1533-position model. The record is from RNAcentral. Lineage: Eukaryota; Dinophyceae; Gonyaulacales; Lingulodiniaceae.